GAUGAACGCUGGCGGCGUGCCUAAUACAUGCAAGUCGAGCGAACAGACGAGGAGCUUGCUCCUCUGACGUUAGCGGCGGACGGGUGAGUAACACGUGGAUCACCUACCUAUAAGACUGGGAUAACUUCGGGAAACCGGAGCUAAUACCGGAUAAUAUAUUGAACCGCAUGGUUCAAUAGUGAAAGACGGUUUUGCUGUCACUUAUAGCUGGAUCCGCGCCGCAUUAGCUAGUUGGUAAGGUAACGGCUUACCAAGGCAACGAUGCGUAGCCGACCUGAGAGGGUGAUCGGCCACACUGGAACUGAGACACGGUCCAGACUCCUACGGGAGGCAGCAGUAGGGAAUCUUCCGCAAUGGGCGAAAGCCUGACGGAGCAACGCCGCGUGAGUGAUGAAGGUCUUCGGAUCGUAAAACUCUGUUAUUAGGGAAGAACAAAUGUGUAAGUAACUAUGCACGUCUUGACGGUACCUAAUCAGAAAGCCACGGCUAACUACGUG
RNAcentral lists this ribosomal RNA (497 nucleotides) under uncultured bacterium. RNAcentral's name for it is "partial 16S ribosomal RNA". It matches the Rfam family "Bacterial small subunit ribosomal RNA", at positions 28 to 507 of the family's 1533-position model. The record is from RNAcentral.